Molecule: long non-coding RNA, 1306 nt
Organism: Xenia sp. Carnegie-2017
Lineage: Eukaryota; Metazoa; Cnidaria; Anthozoa; Malacalcyonacea; Xeniidae
Exons: 5
Source: RefSeq, a predicted model, not a curated record
UGAUAGAUUACGAUUUGCAAACUUGAUGGCAUAGUAAAUCCUCGUUCUUAGAAAGAGUUUGAGGAGAUAAUCAAUUGAAAAAUGCGAGCACUGUUCAAAUGGGAUUGGAGCUUUUUGUAGCUGCUGAAGAAUCUUUUUCAAAAUACCUACACUUUUUGUAUAAGUGAAGAAUUCUGUGACAAAUAUGUCUUCAAUUUUGGUGAUAUAUUCAUAAAUGAUACUUUUGGUGCAAGGAGACCGCCAAAGCUCUUGUCUGACUCAUAUGCCUUGAAGUAGCAAAGCAGAUUUCUGCUAUCAUCAAGUUGGUCUGUGACCAUAACUGACUCACAUAUGGAACACUUGUGCUUUUCAAAAUAUUUCUGGAAUGGAGAAAUCAAAAUAGGAAUGCUUGAGUCAGCUUUGCAGAAUUGUGCCAGUAAGUCAUCAAAGUCAUCAUCACAGUUGCCUUGUGAUGAAUUUAAGAAUGAACUAAAAAACAGCUUCCUGAAAGCACGGGUGAACUGGAUGGAGGUCGGAUUGUCGCUGUUGCCACCCUGCUGACGAAUUGCUCCAGAAAAGUUCUCUAUUGGAAAUCCACAAUAUCCUGCCACUUGGCUGUGAACUGGCUGAACUUGAAAGUGUAUUUCAUCAAAUUAUUUCUAACACAUUUGAUCAGAUGUGGUGGAUCAAACAUAAAAUAAAUCUUUCUUUGAUUGUGCAUAAACCAAGGACUCUCUGGACUGAUGUUCAGGACAUCCUCCAUUUACCAAUACAUAAUCAAGUGGUUGCUUCCAUUUUCCCGAAAUGCUUCUGAGCAAGAGGACAAGUGCUGAAUUUGCCAGUUUAUUCGUUCUUGUGCCACUUCCAUAAUCUUCAUAGCCAAUUAUUUUGUCAUUGGCUAUAUCAUAGAAUAAGUUGGUUUUGAGAGAUAUCUCGUCCAUACACAAAUUACAUAAUUUCUCAUUUUCUCUCAUAUUGUCCACUUUUUUCUUUAUGAUAUUUAGUGCUCCCUGACAUAUUCCAGUUGCAGCUGGCAUCUUAGAGAUGUAUCUGCGCAAUGAUGUUUUGGAAGGAAGAAUGAAUAAUUUCGAGAGCAACGAUAGGCUCUUCCACUAGCAUGAUACAAGGACACAGCAAUGGACUUCAUCUGUGAAAAAUACCGUGAAAAAUCCUCCAUUUCUUGAAGAUAAACUCAGUUGAAACAGGAAGUUUUAAGAUAUGCAUAUCUCGAUAAGAAUUGGUUGCUUUGUCUAGUCUAGGAAGCGAUUAAGUAAAGAACAAAUAAGACUGGAUAAACAAAACUUAAAUUAUAACUUAGAAGUAAAAA